RNAcentral lists this ribosomal RNA (565 nucleotides) under uncultured bacterium. Its description in RNAcentral is "partial 16S ribosomal RNA". It matches the Rfam family "Bacterial small subunit ribosomal RNA", at positions 355 to 935 of the family's 1533-position model. The record is from RNAcentral.
UGGGGAAUAUUGCACAAUGGGCGAAAGCCUGAUGCAGCAACGCCGCGUGAGUGAUGAAGGCCUUCGGGUUGUAAAGCUCUGUCUUUUGGGACGAUAAUGACGGUACCAAAGGAGGAAGCCACGGCUAACUACGUGCCAGCAGCCGCGGUAAUACGUAGGUGGCAAGCGUUGUCCGGAUUUACUGGGCGUAAAGGAUGCGUAGGCGGAUUUUUAAGUGAGAUGUGAAAUACCCGGGCUUAAUCUUGGGUGCUGCAUUUCAAACUGGGAAUCUAGAGCGCGGGAGAGGAGAAUGGAAUUCCUAGUGUAGCGGUGAAAUGCGUAGAGAUUAGGAAGAACACCAGUGGCGAAGGCGAUUCUCUGGACCGUAACUGACGCUGAGGCAUGAAAGCGUGGGUAGCAAACAGGAUUAGAUACCCUGGUAGUCCACGCCGUAAACGAUGAGUACUAGGUGUAGGAGGUAUCGACCCCUUCUGUGCCGCAGUUAACACAAUAAGUACUCCGCCUGGGAAGUACGAUCGCAAGAUUAAAACUCAAAUGAAUUGACGGGGUCAAUAGCAUGUUUUCC